This 409-nucleotide ribosomal RNA is filed under the name uncultured microorganism. RNAcentral's name for it is "bacterial SSU rRNA". It matches the Rfam family "Archaeal small subunit ribosomal RNA", at positions 330 to 745 of the family's 1478-position model. The record is from RNAcentral.
GUGCAGCAGGCGAGAAUCCUCCGCAAUACACGAAAGUGUGACGGGGUUACCCAAAGUGUCCAAAUUUGGACUGUGGUAGGUGAGUAAUGUCCCCUACUAGAAAGGAGAGGGCAAGGCUGGUGCCAGCCGCCGCGGUAAAACCAGCUCUUCAAGUGGUCGGGAUAAUUAUUGGGCUUAAAGUGUCCGUAGCCGGUUUAGUAAGUUCCUGGUAAAAUCGGGUAGCUUAACUAUCUGUAUGCUAGGAAUACUGCUAUACUAGAGGGCGGGAGAGGUCUGAGGUACUACAGGGGUAGGGGUGAAAUCCUGUAAUCCUUGUAGGACCACCAGUGGCGAAGGCGUCAGACUGGGACGCGCCUGACGGUGAGGGACGAAAGCCAGGGGAGCGAACCGGAUUAGAUACCCCCGUAGU